AGAUAUGAUCCAGAGUACCACGGGACACGUGAAACCCUGUGGGAAGCAGGAGGGACCACCCUCCAAGGCUAAAUACUACCUAGUGACCGAUAGCGUAUAGUACCGUGAGGGAAAGGUGAAAAGAACCCCGGGAGGGGAGUGAAAUAGAACCUGAAACCCUGCACUUACAAGCUGUGGAAGCACAUUUCUUGUGUGACCGCGUACUUUUUGUAGAACGGGCCAACGAGUUACGUUAAGUAGCAAGGUUAAGCACUUAAGGUGUGGAGCCGUAGCGAAAGCGAGUUUUAACUGAGCGUUCAGUUACUUGACGUAGACCCGAAACCGGGCGACCUACCCAUGAGCAGGAUGAAGCGAAAGUAAAAUUUCGUGGAGGUCCGAACCCACGAGCGUUGAAAAGCUCGGGGAUGACUUGUGGGUAGCGGUGAAAUUCCAAUCGAGCCCGGAGAUAGCUGGUUCUCCCCGAAAUAGCUUUAGGGCUAGCCUCAAGGUGAGAGAUACGGAGGUAGAGCACUGAAUGUCCUAGGGGGUAUUGCACCUACCGAAGACUAUCAAACUCCGAAUGCCGUCAUCUUAUACUUGGGAGUCAGACUGUGGGUGAUAAGAUUCAUAGUCGAAAGGGCAACAGCCCAGAUCGUCAGCUAAGGUCCCUAAAUGUAAGUUAAGUGGUAAAGGAUGUGGGAUUGCACAGACAACCAGGAUGUUGGCUUAGAAGCAGCCACUCAUUCAAAGAGUGCGUAAUAGCUCACUGGUCGAGUGAUCCUGCGCCGAAGAUUUCCGGGGCUAAAACUUACUACCGAAGCUACGGCAUCAGUAAUGAUGGGUAGGGGAGCUUCCCAUACGGGUUGAAGCAUGACCGUAAGGACAUGUGGACAGUAUGGGAGUGAGAAUGUUGGCAUGAGUAGCGAGAUGUGGGUGAGAAUCCCACAGGCCGUAAACCCAAGGUUUCCAGGGGAAGGUUCGUCCGCCCUGGGUUAGUCGGGACCUAAGCUGAGGCCGAAAGGCGUAGGUGAUGGACAACAGGUUGAUAUUCCUGUACUACCGAUAACCGUUUGAGAGAAGGGAUGACACAGUAGGAUAAGCUAAGCACACUGUUGGUUAUGUGUGCCCAAGCAUUGAGGCAGUCAAAGUAGGCAAAUCCGCUUUGAUAAUGCUGGGAUGUGAUGGGGAGCGAAAUUUAGUAGCGAAGUAGCUGAUUUCACACUGUCAAGAAAAGUCUCUAUCGAGGUUAAAGGUACCCGUACCGCAAACCGACACAGGUGGGUGAGGAGAGUAUCCUAAGGCCAGCGAGAGAACUGUUGUUAAGGAACUCGGCAAAAUGACCCCGUAACUUAGGGAUAAGGGGUGCCACCAUCAGGUGGCCGCAGAGAAUAGGCCCAAGCGACUGUUUACCAAAAACAUAGGUUUCUGCUAAGUCGCAAGACGAUGUAUAGGAGCUGACGCCUGCCCGGUGCUGGAAGGUUAAGGGGAUCUGUUAGAG
This 1477-nucleotide ribosomal RNA is filed under the name Clostridioides difficile. RNAcentral's name for it is "partial 23S ribosomal RNA". It matches the Rfam family "Bacterial large subunit ribosomal RNA", at positions 398 to 1895 of the family's 2925-position model. The record is from RNAcentral. Lineage: Bacteria; Bacillati; Bacillota; Clostridia; Peptostreptococcales; Peptostreptococcaceae.